CUUAGAGUUUGAUCCUGGCUCAGGACGAACGCUGGCGGCGUGCCUAAUACAUGCAAGUAGAACGCUGAAGAGAGGAGCUUGCUCUUCUUGGAUGAGUUGCGAACGGGUGAGUAACGCGUAGGUAACCUGCCUUGUAGCGGGGGAUAACUAUUGGAAACGAUAGCUAAUACCGCAUAACAAUGGAUGACUCAUGUCAUUUAUUUGAAAGGGGCAAAUGCUCCACUACAAGAUGGACCUGCGUUGUAUUAGCUAGUAGGUGAGGUAACGGCUCACCUAGGCGACGAUACAUAGCCGACCUGAGAGGGUGAUCGGCCACACUGGGACUGAGACACGGCCCAGACUCCUACGGGAGGCAGCAGUAGGGAAUCUUCGGCAAUGGGGGCAACCCUGACCGAGCAACGCCGCGUGAGUGAAGAAGGUUUUCGGAUCGUAAAGCUCUGUUGUAAGUCAAGAACGAGUGUGAGAGUGGAAAGUUCACACUGUGACGGUAGCUUACCAGAAAGGGACGGCUAACUACGUGCCAGCAGCCGCGGUAAUACGUAGGUCCCGAGCGUUGUCCGGAUUUAUUGGGCGUAAAGCGAGCGCAGGCGGUUUGAUAAGUCUGAAGUUAAAGGCUGUGGCUCAACCAUAGUUCGCUUUGGAAACUGUCAAACUUGAGUGCAGAAGGGGAGAGUGGAAUUCCAUGUGUAGCGGUGAAAUGCGUAGAUAUAUGGAGGAACACCGGUGGCGAAAGCGGCUCUCUGGUCUGUAACUGACGCUGAGGCUCGAAAGCGUGGGGAGCGAACAGGAUUAGAUACCCUGGUAGUCCACGCCGUAAACGAUGAGUGCUAGGUGUUGGAUCCUUUCCGGGAUUCAGUGCCGCAGCUAACGCAUUAAGCA
RNAcentral lists this ribosomal RNA (879 nucleotides) under uncultured bacterium. RNAcentral's name for it is "bacterial SSU rRNA". It matches the Rfam family "Bacterial small subunit ribosomal RNA", at positions 1 to 866 of the family's 1533-position model. The record is from RNAcentral.